RNAcentral lists this ribosomal RNA (469 nucleotides) under uncultured bacterium. RNAcentral describes it as "bacterial SSU rRNA". It matches the Rfam family "Bacterial small subunit ribosomal RNA", at positions 34 to 498 of the family's 1533-position model. The record is from RNAcentral.
CGCUGGCGGCAGGCCUAACACAUGCAAGUCGAGCGGAUGAGAGGAGCUUGCUCCUGGAUUCAGCGGCGGACGGGUGAGUAAUGCCUAGGAAUCUGCCUGGUAGUGGGGGACAACGUUUCGAAAGGAACGCUAAUACCGCAUACGUCCUACGGGAGAAAGCAGGGGACCUUCGGGCCUUGCGCUAUCAGAUGAGCCUAGGUCGGAUUAGCUAGUUGGUGAGGUAAUGGCUCACCAAGGCGACGAUCCGUAACUGGUCUGAGAGGAUGAUCAGUCACACUGGAACUGAGACACGGUCCAGACUCCUACGGGAGGCAGCAGUGGGGAAUAUUGGACAAUGGGCGAAAGCCUGAUCCAGCCAUGCCGCGUGUGUGAAGAAGGUCUUCGGAUUGUAAAGCACUUUAAGUUGGGAGGAAGGGCAGUAACUUAAUACGUUGCUGUUUUGACGUUACCGACAGAAUAAGCACCGGCU